AGUGAACGCUGGCGGUAGGCCUAACACAUGCAAGUCGAACGGCAGCACAGUAAGAGCUUGCUCUUACGGUUGGCGAGUGGCGGACGGGUGAGGAAUACAUCGGAAUCUACUUUUUCGUGGGGGAUAACGUAGGGACACUUACGCUAAUACCGCAUACGACCUACGGGUGAAAGCAGGGGAUCUUCGGACCUUGCGCGAUUGAAUGAGCCGAUGUCGGAUUAGCUAGUUGGCGGGGUAAAGGCCCACCAAGGCGACGAUCCGUAGCUGGUCUGAGAGGAUGAUCAGCCACACUGGAACUGAGACACGGUCCAGACUCCUACGGGAGGCAGCAGUGGGGAAUAUUGGACAAUGGGCGCAAGCCUGAUCCAGCCAUACCGCGUGGGUGAAGAAGGCCUUCGGGUUGUAAAGCCCUUUUGUUGGGAAAGAAAAGCAGCAGGUUAAUACCCCGCUGUUCUGACGGUACCCAAAGAAUAAGCACCGGCUAACUUCGUG
This 492-nucleotide ribosomal RNA is filed under the name uncultured bacterium. RNAcentral describes it as "partial 16S ribosomal RNA". It matches the Rfam family "Bacterial small subunit ribosomal RNA", at positions 29 to 507 of the family's 1533-position model. The record is from RNAcentral.